UUAAGGAAGUAAAAGUCGUAACAAGGUUUCCGUAGGUGAACCUGCGGAAGGAUCAUGAUUGUGCAACAGAGGCACGAAGGUUGUUGCUGACCUUUUCAAAGGUCGUGCACGCCCGAGUGCUCUCAAUCCAUCUCACCCCUUUGUGCAUCACCGCGUGGGCCUCUUUGGGCUUGUUCCAAACUGUGCUCACGUUUUUUUAAUACAAACACCCAAUAGUAAUGCAGUGUAGAAUGUUCUUCUUUGCGAUUUACGCAAUCUAAUACAACUUUCAACAACGGAUCUCUUGGCUCUCGCAUCGAUGAAGAACGCAGCGAAAUGCGAUACGUAAUGUGAAUUGCAGAAUUCAGUGAAUCAUCGAAUCUUUGAACGCACCUUGCACCCCUUGGCAUUCCGAGGGGCACACCCGUUUGAGUGUCGUGACAUCCUCAACCUUCUUCGGUUUGUUUUUCGAUCGGGAAGGCUUGGAAUCUGGAGGUUUUUUUUUUUUGCUGGCCUCUUUUGAAGCCAGCUCCUCUUAAACGAAUUAGUAGGGUUGACAUUAGUUCUAUCCUAGACGUGAUAAAGAUGCUUUUACGUCUUGAGGUCUUGCUCUGUCCCCCGCUUCUAACUGUCUCGCAAGGGACACCGUUCGGGCCGACGCCUUUCAUAGGUGGAAAGCCCGACCCACGAAACCUUGACCUCAAAUCGGGUGAGACUACCCGCUGAACUUAAGCAUAUCAAUAAGCGGAGGAAAAGAAACUAACAAGGAUUCCCCUAGUAACUGCGAGUGAAGCGGGAAAAGCUCAAAUUUAAAAUCUGGGGUCUUUGGCCAUCCGAGUUGUAAUUAGAGAAGCGUCUUCCGCGCUGGACCGUAAAA
RNAcentral lists this small RNA (856 nucleotides) under Russula sp. MD335. Its description in RNAcentral is "eukaryotic LSU rRNA". The stretch from base 264 to 417 matches the Rfam family "5.8S ribosomal RNA". Lineage: Eukaryota; Fungi; Basidiomycota; Agaricomycetes; Russulales; Russulaceae. The record is from RNAcentral.